GACGAACGCUGGCGGCGUGCUUAACACAUGCAAGUCGAACGGAAAGGCCUUUUCGGAGGUACUCGAGUGGCGAACGGGUGAGUAACACGUGGGUGAUCUGCCCUGCACUCUGGGAUAAGCCUGGGAAACUGGGUCUAAUACCGGAUAGGACCGCACUUUAGUGUGUGUGGUGGAAAGGUUUUUCGGUGUAGGAUGAGCCCGCGGCCUAUCAGUUUGUUGGUGGGGUAAUGGCCUACCAAGGCGGCGGCGGGUAGCCGGACUGAGGGGUUGGUCGGCCACAUUGGGACUGAGAUACGGCCCAGACUCCUACGGGGGGCAGCAGUGGGGAAUAUUGCACAAUGGGCGCAAGCCUGAUGCAGCGACGCCGCGUGGGGGAUGACGGCCUUCGGGUUGUAAACUCCUUUCGCCAGGGACGAAGCGUUUUGUGACGGUACCUGGAGAAGAAGCACCGGCUAACUACGUG
RNAcentral lists this ribosomal RNA (463 nucleotides) under uncultured bacterium. Its description in RNAcentral is "partial 16S ribosomal RNA". It matches the Rfam family "Bacterial small subunit ribosomal RNA", at positions 28 to 507 of the family's 1533-position model. The record is from RNAcentral.